Molecule: small RNA, 125 nt
Filed under: Marmota monax (woodchuck)
Lineage: Eukaryota; Metazoa; Chordata; Mammalia; Rodentia; Sciuridae
Source: RNAcentral
GCUGGGCAUGGUGGUGCACACCUGUAAUCCCAGCAGCUUGGGAGGCUGAGGCAGGAGGAUGGCAAGUUCAAAGCCAGCUUCAGCAAUGGUGAGGCACUAAACAACUCAGGGAGACCCUGUCUCUA